CCUACGGGAGGCUGCAGUAGGGAAUCUUCGGCAAUGGACGGAAGUCUGACCGAGCAACGCCGCGUGAGUGAAGAAGGGUUUCGGAUCGUACAGCUCUGUUGUAAGAGAAGAACGAGUGUGAGAGUGGAAAGUUCACACUGUGACGGUAUCUUACCAGAAAGGGACGGCUAACUACGUGCCAGCAGCCGCGGUAAUACGUAGGUCCCGAGCGUUAUCCGGAUUUAUUGGGCGUAAAGCGAGCGCAGGCGGUUAGAUAAGUCUGAAGGUAAAGGCUGUGGCUUAACCAUAGUACGCUUUGGAAACUGUUUAACUUGAGUGAAAGAGGAGAGAGUGGAAUUCCAUGCGUAGCGGUGACAUGCGUAGAUAUAUGGAGGAACACCGGUGGCGAAAGCGGCUCUCUGGCUUGUAACUGACGCUGAGGCUCGAAAGCGUGGGGAGCAAACGGGAUUAGAGACCCCGGUAGUC
RNAcentral lists this ribosomal RNA (465 nucleotides) under uncultured Streptococcus sp. RNAcentral's name for it is "bacterial SSU rRNA". It matches the Rfam family "Bacterial small subunit ribosomal RNA", at positions 338 to 795 of the family's 1533-position model. Lineage: Bacteria; Bacillati; Bacillota; Bacilli; Lactobacillales; Streptococcaceae. The record is from RNAcentral.